GGACCCGCACAAGUAGUGGAGCAUGUGGUUUAAUUCGAAGAUACGCGCAGAACCUUACCAACACUUGACAUGUUCGUCGCGACUCUGAGAGAUCAGAGUUUUCGGUUCGGCCGGACGAAACACAGGUGCUGCAUGGCUGUCGUCAGCUCGUGUCGUGAGAUGUUGGGUUAAGUCCCGCAACGAGCGCAACCCUCACUUUUAGUUGCCAUCAUUAAGUUGGGCACUCUGAAAGAACUGCCAGUGAUAAGCUGGAGGAAGGUGGGGAUGACGUCAAGUCCUCAUGGCCCUUACGUGUUGGGCUACACACGUGCUACAAUGGUAUCUACAACAGGAAGCAAGACUGCGAAGUUAAGCAAAUCCCUAAAAGCCGUCCCAGUUCGGAUUGUACUCUGCAACUCGAGUGCAUGAAGUUGGAAUC
Molecule: ribosomal RNA, 418 nt
Filed under: uncultured bacterium
Lineage: Bacteria
Description: bacterial SSU rRNA
Rfam family: Bacterial small subunit ribosomal RNA
Source: RNAcentral